CCUACGGGAGGCAGCAGUGAGGAAUAUUGGUCAAUGGACGCGAGUCUGAACCAGCCAAGUAGCGUGAAGGAUGACUGCCCUAUGGGUUGUAAACUUCUUUUAUAAAGGAAUAAAACGAGGCACGUGUGCCUUUUUGCAUGUACUUUAUGAAUAAGGAUCGGCUAACUCCGUGCCAGCAGCCGCGGUAAUACGGAGGAUCCGAGCGUUAUCCGGAUUUCUUGGGUUUAAAGGGAGCGUAGAUGGGUUGUUAAGUCAGUUGUGAAAGUUUGCGGCUCAACCGUAAAAUUGCAAUUGAUACUGGCAGUCUUGAGGACAGUUGAGGUAGGCGGAAUUCGUGGUGUAGCGGUGAAAUGCUUAGAUAUCACGAAGAACCCCGAUUGCGAAGGCAGCUUACUAAACUGUGACUGACAUUGAUGCUCGAAAGUGUGGGUAUCAAACAGGAGUAGAUACCCUAGUAGUC
This 460-nucleotide ribosomal RNA is filed under the name uncultured bacterium. Its description in RNAcentral is "partial 16S ribosomal RNA". It matches the Rfam family "Bacterial small subunit ribosomal RNA", at positions 338 to 795 of the family's 1533-position model. The record is from RNAcentral.